AAUGGCCGGCGGUGCCUUUACAUGCAAGUCGAGCGCGGGAAGCAGGCAGAUCCUCUCCGGAGGUGACGCCUGUGGAACGAGCGGCGGACGGGUGAGUAACACGUGGGCAACCUGCCUGUAAGAUUGGGAUAACCCCGGGAAACCGGGGCUAAUACCGGAUAAUACUUUUCGUUGCAUAACGAGAAGUUGAAAGGCGGCUUUUAGCUGUCACUUACAGAUGGGCCCGCGGCGCAUUAGCUAGUUGGUAAGGUAACGGCUUACCAAGGCGACGAUGCGUAGCCGACCUGAGAGGGUGAUCGGCCACACUGGGACUGAGACACGGCCCAGACUCCUACGGGAGGCAGCAGUAGGGAAUCUUCCGCAAUGGACGAAAGUCUGACGGAGCAACGCCGCGUGAGUGAUGAAGGUUUUCGGAUCGUAAAACUCUGUUGUCAGGGAAGAACAAGUGCCGUUCAAAUAGGGCGGCACCUUGACGGUACCUGACCAGAAAGCCCCGGCUAACUACGUGCCAGCAGCCGCGGUAAUACGUAGGGGGCAAGCGUUGUCCGGAAUUAUUGGGCGUAAAGCGCGCGCAGGCGGUCCUUUAAGUCUGAUGUGAAA
This 600-nucleotide ribosomal RNA is filed under the name Virgibacillus salarius. Its description in RNAcentral is "bacterial SSU rRNA". It matches the Rfam family "Bacterial small subunit ribosomal RNA", at positions 32 to 599 of the family's 1533-position model. Lineage: Bacteria; Bacillati; Bacillota; Bacilli; Caryophanales; Bacillaceae. The record is from RNAcentral.